Molecule: ribosomal RNA, 463 nt
Filed under: uncultured bacterium
Lineage: Bacteria
Description: partial 16S ribosomal RNA
Rfam family: Bacterial small subunit ribosomal RNA
Source: RNAcentral
GACGAACGCUGGCGGCGUGCUUAACACAUGCAAGUCGAACGGUGAACCUCUUCGGAGGGGAUCAGUGGCGAACGGGUGAGUAACACGUGGGCAACCUGCCCCCGGCUCUGGGAUAACUCCAAGAAAUUGGGGCUAAUACCGGAUGUUCACCGCUUCCCGCAUGGGUGGUGGUGGAAAGGGUUUCCGGCUGGGGAUGGGCCCGCUGCCUAUCAGCUUGUUGGUGGGGUAGUGGCCUACCAAGGCGACGACGGGUAGCCGGCCUGAGAGGGUGACCGGCCACACUGGGACUGAGACACGGCCCAGACUCCUACGGGAGGCAGCAGUGGGGAAUAUUGCGCAAUGGGCGGAAGCCUGACGCAGCGACGCCGCGUGGGGGAUGACGGCCUUCGGGUUGUAAACCUCUUUCAGCAGGGACGAAGCGCAAGUGACGGUACCUGCAGAAGAAGCACCGGCCAACUACGUG